CUUUAACAAUCCGGAACAAGCUGAAAAUUGAAACGACAUGUCGUUUUCAUUCUCCGUAAUAAGAAUGAAAUCAUACGAUAUGUUCGAGUCUCUCAAAUGCUUACAACAGCAUGUGUCUUUCGGGACGCUUGUG
This 133-nucleotide small RNA is filed under the name Erwinia billingiae. RNAcentral's name for it is "Salmonella enterica Typhi npcRNA 44". It matches the Rfam family "Salmonella enterica Typhi npcRNA 44". The record is from Rfam by way of RNAcentral. Lineage: Bacteria; Pseudomonadati; Pseudomonadota; Gammaproteobacteria; Enterobacterales; Erwiniaceae.